CUUUUUCUUCUUCCGAGCUGAAGAUUGCUCUCGCCAGCUGUGCUCCAGGCUCUCCCUCUUAGGGUGUGAUUUAGGGGCUAUUUCCAGUCUAAUGGGAUAAUUUAUAACCCAGUCCCUAAAACCAAGAGGACUGCAGUUCUGUGGCUGAGAAUUGUAGAAUUUCAGAGCUGCGAAUGAAAAUCAGAUCCAACCCAAACAAACCAAGUAAUAACAGCAACAACGAUAAAGCAAGGAGCCAAACACCCCCAGCCACCGUGCGGCAUCUAAACCCCAGCCCCCGCCCCUUGCAGCGGCAGAAUCCGGGAUUUCACGGCUGUGACAGCAGGUAAAUUGUGCCCCACACACCCAGCAGACCUCUGUGCCAAGAUGAGAAUUCUCCACUGCUAGCACCUGCCAGGGCUGACUUCUCUGCAGCCUGUCUCGUCAGCACAGGAGGGGAGAGAGAGCCUUGCUCUCAGGCCCCAGGACUCAGCAUCCGGACCACACUGAGACUCCGGACUCCUCCGCGUCUCCUGCCUGGAUGGCCUUUCCUUCCUUAGUCUUAGCAGGACGCCUGAGUUUUCAUCUGGGUCAGGGUCUCUUUUAAGGUGUGGGUUCAGGACUGAAUACAAUUUAUAAAAAAAGAGGGUGGGGGCAGGGCAUAUCAGCUACUUUUCUCUUUGCUGUUGACAAGAAGCAAUUUAGGGAAAAGGAGUUUAUUGUUGGCUCGUGGGUCAAAAAAUAAAGUUAAAUAACG
Molecule: long non-coding RNA, 736 nt
Filed under: Mus musculus (house mouse)
Lineage: Eukaryota; Metazoa; Chordata; Mammalia; Rodentia; Muridae
Description: long non-coding RNA chr9:120675535-120676271
Source: RNAcentral